Molecule: ribosomal RNA, 472 nt
Filed under: uncultured bacterium
Lineage: Bacteria
Description: partial 16S ribosomal RNA
Rfam family: Bacterial small subunit ribosomal RNA
Source: RNAcentral
GACGAACGCUGGCGGCGUGCUUAACACAUGCAAGUCGAACGCUGAAGCUUGGUGCUUGCACUGGGUGGAUGAGUGGCGAACGGGUGAGUAAUACGUGAGUAACCUGCCCUUGACUCUGGGAUAAGCCUGGGAAACUGGGUCUAAUACUGGAUACGACAUGUCACCGCAUGGUGGUGUGUGGAGAGGGUUUUACUGGUUUUGGAUGGGCUCACGGCCUAUCAGCUUGUUGGUGGGGUAAUGGCUCACCAAGGCGACGACGGGUAGCCGGCCUGAGAGGGUGACCGGCCACACUGGGACUGAGACACGGCCCAGACUCCUACGGGAGGCAGCAGUGGGGAAUAUUGCACAAUGGGCGGAAGCCUGAUGCAGCGACGCCGCGUGAGGGAUGACGGCCUUCGGGUUGUAAACCUCUUUCAGCACGGAAGAAGCGAAAGUGACGGUACGUGCAGAAGAAGCGCCGGCUAACUACGUG